GACGAACGCUGGCGGCGUGCCUAACACAUGCAAGUCUACGAGAAAAGGGUAGCAAUAUCCUGAGUAAAGUGGCGCACGGGUGAGUAACACGUAGGCAAUCUGCCCUUAGGACGGGAACAACCCCGGGAAACCGGGGCUAAUACCCGAUAAUGCAGCGGCACCGCAUGGUGACAGUUGUUAAAUGCCCGCAAGGGCGCCUAGAGAUGAGCCUGCGUCCCAUUAGGUAGUUGGUGAGGAACGGCCCACCAAGCCUACGAUGGGUAGCUGAUCUGAGAGGAUGAUCAGCCACACUGGAACUGAGACACGGUCCAGACUCCUACGGGAGGCAGCAGUGAGGAAUAUUGCGCAA
Molecule: ribosomal RNA, 349 nt
Filed under: uncultured bacterium
Lineage: Bacteria
Description: bacterial SSU rRNA
Rfam family: Bacterial small subunit ribosomal RNA
Source: RNAcentral